This 680-nucleotide ribosomal RNA is filed under the name Escherichia coli. Its description in RNAcentral is "partial 23S ribosomal RNA". It matches the Rfam family "Bacterial large subunit ribosomal RNA", at positions 571 to 1251 of the family's 2925-position model. Lineage: Bacteria; Pseudomonadati; Pseudomonadota; Gammaproteobacteria; Enterobacterales; Enterobacteriaceae. The record is from RNAcentral.
CAGUGGGAGCACGCUUAGGCGUGUGACUGCGUACCUUUUGUAUAAUGGGUCAGCGACUUAUAUUCUGUAGCAAGGUUAACCGAAUAGGGGAGCCGAAGGGAAACCGAGUCUUAACUGGGCGUUAAGUUGCAGGGUAUAGACCCGAAACCCGGUGAUCUAGCCAUGGGCAGGUUGAAGGUUGGGUAACACUAACUGGAGGACCGAACCGACUAAUGUUGAAAAAUUAGCGGAUGACUUGUGGCUGGGGGUGAAAGGCCAAUCAAACCGGGAGAUAGCUGGUUCUCCCCGAAAGCUAUUUAGGUAGCGCCUCGUGAAUUCAUCUCCGGGGGUAGAGCACUGUUUCGGCAAGGGGGUCAUCCCGACUUACCAACCCGAUGCAAACUGCGAAUACCGGAGAAUGUUAUCACGGGAGACACACGGCGGGUGCUAACGUCCGUCGUGAAGAGGGAAACAACCCAGACCGCCAGCUAAGGUCCCAAAGUCAUGGUUAAGUGGGAAACGAUGUGGGAAGGCCCAGACAGCCAGGAUGUUGGCUUAGAAGCAGCCAUCAUUUAAAGAAAGCGUAAUAGCUCACUGGUCGAGUCGGCCUGCGCGGAAGAUGUAACGGGGCUAAACCAUGCACCGAAGCUGCGGCAGCGACGCUGAUGCGUUGUUGGGUAGGGGAGCGUUCUGUAAGCCUG